UCUAUCAAUCUGGCCAUCAGGCCCUACCUUGACUGUAUAAACCCAUCGAUAGCCAACAGUAGAUUUGCCCUUCGAUAGUGGCACCAAAUCCCAAGUGUCAUUGUUAUGGAGAGCAGUUAUCUCUUCAACCGUUGCAUUACACCAUACUGGAUGUUCCAAAGCUUCUCUAGCAGUCUUAGGUAUAGAUACAUUAGACAAAGUGGUGAC
RNAcentral lists this unclassified non-coding RNA (207 nucleotides) under Hevea brasiliensis (rubber tree). Lineage: Eukaryota; Viridiplantae; Streptophyta; Magnoliopsida; Malpighiales; Euphorbiaceae. The record is from RNAcentral.